AUUGAACGCUGGCGGCAGGCUUAACACAUGCAAGUCGAACGGUAACAGAGAAGUGCUUGCACUUUUGCUGACGAGUGGCGGACGGGUGAGUAAUGCUUGGGAAUAUGCCUUAUGGUGGGGGACAACAGUUGGAAACGACUGCUAAUACCGCAUAAUCUCUUCGGAGCAAAGUGGGGGACCUUCGGGCCUCACGCCAUGAGAGUAGCCCAAGUGGGAUUAGCUAGUUGGUAAGGUAAAGGCUUACCAAGGCGACGAUCCCUAGCUGGUCUUAGAGGAUGACCAGCCACACUGGAACUGAGACACGGUCCAG
RNAcentral lists this ribosomal RNA (310 nucleotides) under uncultured Psychromonas sp. RNAcentral's name for it is "bacterial SSU rRNA". It matches the Rfam family "Bacterial small subunit ribosomal RNA", at positions 30 to 334 of the family's 1533-position model. The record is from RNAcentral. Lineage: Bacteria; Pseudomonadati; Pseudomonadota; Gammaproteobacteria; Alteromonadales; Psychromonadaceae.